GAUGAACGCUGGCGGCGUGCCUAAUACAUGCAAGUCGAGCGAACAGACGAGGAGCUUGCUCCUCUGACGUUAGCGGCGGACGGGUGAGUAACACGUGGAUAACCUACCUAUAAGACUGGGAUAACUUCGGGAAACCGGAGCUAAUACCGGAUAAUAUAUUGAACCGCAUGGUUCAAUAGUGAAAGACGGUUUUGCUGUCACUUAUAGAUGGAUCCGCGCCGCAUUAGCUAGUUGGUAAGGUAACGGCUUACCAAGGCAACGAUGCGUAGCCGACCUGAGAGGGGGAUCGGCCACACUGGAACUGAAACACGGUCCAGACGCCUACGGGAGGCACCAGUAGGGAAUCUUCCGCAAUGGGCGAAAGCCUGACGGAGCAGCGCCGCGUGAGUGAUGAAGGUCUUCGGGUCGGAAAACUCUGUUAUUAGGGAAGAACAAAUGCGUAAGUAACUAUGCACGUCUUGACGGUACCUAAUCAGAAAGCCACGGCUAACUACGUG
RNAcentral lists this ribosomal RNA (497 nucleotides) under uncultured bacterium. RNAcentral describes it as "partial 16S ribosomal RNA". It matches the Rfam family "Bacterial small subunit ribosomal RNA", at positions 28 to 507 of the family's 1533-position model. The record is from RNAcentral.